This 72-nucleotide transfer RNA is filed under the name Sphaerodactylus townsendi. RNAcentral describes it as "tRNA-Ala". It matches the Rfam family "tRNA". From Rfam's summary of the family: Transfer RNA (tRNA) molecules are approximately 80 nucleotides in length. Their secondary structure includes four short double-helical elements and three loops (D, anti-codon, and T loops). Lineage: Eukaryota; Metazoa; Chordata; Lepidosauria; Squamata; Sphaerodactylidae. The record is from RNAcentral.
GGGGCUGUGGCUCAGUGGUAGAGCAUCGGCUCAGCAUGCAGAAAGUUUCAGGUUCGAUCCCAGGAAUCUCCA